UACGUAGGAGGCGAGCGUUAUCCGGAUUUACUGGGCGUAAAGCGCGUGCAGGCGGUCUGGUAAGUUGGAUGUGAAAGCUCCUGGCUCAACCGGGAGAGGUCGUUGAAUACUGCCAGACUCGAGGACGGUAGAGGAGAGUGGAAUUCCCGGUGUAGUGGUGAAAUGCGUAGAUAUCGGGAGGAACACCAGUGGCGAAGGCGGCAUCCUGGACCAACACUGACGCUGAGGAGCGAAAGCCAGGGGAGCAAACGGG
RNAcentral lists this ribosomal RNA (253 nucleotides) under uncultured prokaryote. Its description in RNAcentral is "partial 16S ribosomal RNA". It matches the Rfam family "Bacterial small subunit ribosomal RNA", at positions 524 to 776 of the family's 1533-position model. The record is from RNAcentral.